This 334-nucleotide long non-coding RNA is filed under the name Mus musculus (house mouse). RNAcentral's name for it is "RIKEN cDNA B130046B21 gene". Lineage: Eukaryota; Metazoa; Chordata; Mammalia; Rodentia; Muridae. The record is from RNAcentral.
UUUUUCUCUCGGUCUCCUUGGCCUCCCGCUCCUGCGACGCCGCCUUUCUUUUCUCUUGUUCCCGGGCUCGGACCUCGGCGGGGGGGCCCGCCCGCCAGUUGGUUGCCUCCUGCAGCACCCUGGAGGCCCAGGGUCGGCGGGGUGGCGGCUCAGGGGAUCCCGGGCGCAGCCUACACCUGGGACAAUGAGCAGGAACCCAGCUCUAGACAGUGGGCGUGGAGCUCCUGAGAGAAGACUCAGUUCUCCCAGGAUUCCAUCUGAUUCCCAGAGCUUCCAGCAGGCAGGCAGUGAGGGGGCCACCUCCCCAGGCACCGCCUGUUCUUCCCCAUGCUCA